AUUGAACGCUGGCGGCAGGCUUAACACAUGCAAGUCGAGCGGGGAAGGGUAGCUUGCUACCUGACCUAGCGGCGGACGGGUGAGUAAUGCUUAGGAAUCUGCCUAUUAGUGGGGGACAACAUUCCGAAAGGAAUGCUAAUACCGCAUACGCCCUACGGGGGAAAGCAGGGGAUCUUCGGACCUUGCGCUAAUAGAUGAGCCUAAGUCAGAUUAGCUAGUUGGUGGGGUAAAGGCCUACCAAGGCGACGAUCUGUAGCGGGUCUGAGAGGAUGAUCCGCCACACUGGGACGGAGACACGGCCCAGACUCCUACGGGAGGCAGCAGUGGGGAAUAUUGGACAAUGGGCGCAAGCCUGAUCCAGCCAUGCCGCGUGUGUGAAGAAGGCCUUUUGGUUGUAAAGCACUUUAAGCGAGGAGGAGGCUACCGAGAUUAAUACUCUUGGAUAGUGGACGUUACUCGCAGAAUAAGCACCGGCUAACUCUGUGCCAGCAGCCGCAGUAA
Molecule: ribosomal RNA, 501 nt
Filed under: uncultured bacterium
Lineage: Bacteria
Description: partial 16S ribosomal RNA
Rfam family: Bacterial small subunit ribosomal RNA
Source: RNAcentral